Molecule: small nuclear RNA, 146 nt
Filed under: Aspergillus parasiticus SU-1
Lineage: Eukaryota; Fungi; Ascomycota; Eurotiomycetes; Eurotiales; Aspergillaceae
Description: U2 spliceosomal RNA
Rfam family: U2 spliceosomal RNA
About the family: U2 is a small nuclear RNA (snRNA) component of the spliceosome (involved in pre-mRNA splicing). Complementary binding between U2 snRNA (in an area lying towards the 5' end but 3' to hairpin I) and the branchpoint sequence (BPS) of the intron results the bulging out of an unpaired adenosine, on the BPS, which initiates a nucleophilic attack at the intronic 5' splice site, thus starting the first of two transesterification reactions that mediate splicing.
Source: Rfam by way of RNAcentral
UUCAGUUUAAUCUCUGAAAGUGUUCCAUAGGAACACAACAUUGAUUAUUCUUAUUUUUGGUCUCCGUGGCAGGGCCCCUGUGCUUGCGCAUGCCUUGCCACACUGUGUCAUCAGGCUUACACUACCCCUGAUAGACGCGAACACCC